ACACUGAUGCGUUGUUGGGUAGGGGAGCGUUCUGUAAGCCUGUGAAGGUGGCCUGUGAGGGUUGCUGGAGGUAUCAGAAGUGCGAAUGCUGACAUAAGUAACGAUAAAGCGGGUGAAAAGCCCGCUCGCCGGAAGACCAAGGGUUCCUGUCCAACGUUAAUCGGGGCAGGGUGAGUCGACCCCUAAGGCGAGGCCGAAAGGCGUAGUCGAUGGGAAACGGGUUAAUAUUCCCGUACUUGGUGUUACUGCGAAGGGGGGACGGAGAAGGCUAUGUUGGCCGGGCGACGGUUGUCCCGGUUUAAGCGUGUAGGUGUGUGUUCCAGGUAAAUCCGGUUCACUUUAACACUGAGGCGUGAUGACGAGGCACUACGGUGCUGAAGCAACAAAUGCCCUGCUUCCAGGAAAAGCCUCUAAGCAUCAGGUAACAUCAAAUCGUACCCCAAACCGACACAGGUGGUCAGGUAGAGAAUACCAAGGCGCUUGAGAGAACUCGGGUGAAGGAACUAGGCAAAAUGGUGCCGUAACUUCGGGAGAAGGCACGCUGACACGUAGGUGAAGUGAUUUACUCACGGAGCUGAAGUCAGUCGAAGAUACCAGCUGGCUGCAACUGUUUAUUAAAAACACAGCACUGUGCAAACACGAAAGUGGACGUAUACGGUGUGACGCCUGCCCGGUGCCGGAAGGUUAAUUGAUGGGGUCAGCGCAAGCGAAGCUCCUGAUCGAAGCCCCGGUAAACGGCGGCCGUAACUAUAACGGUCCUAAGGUAGCGAAAUUCCUUGUCGGGUAAGUUCCGACCUGCACGAAUGGCGUAAUGAUGGCCAGGCUGUCUCCACCCGAGACUCAGUGAAAUUGAACUCGCUGUGAAGAUGCAGUGUACCCGCGGCAAGACGGAAAGACCCCGUGAACCUUUACUAUAGCUUGACACUGAACAUUGAGCCUUGAUGUGUAGGAUAGGUGGGAGGCUUUGAAGUGUGGACGCCAGUCUGCAUGGAGCCGACCUUGAAAUACCACCCUUUAAUGUUUGAUGUUCUAACGUGGACCCGUAAUCCGGGUUGCGGACAGUGUCUGGUGGGUAGUUUGACUGGGGCGGUCUCCUCCUAAAGAGUAACGGAGGAGCACGAAGGUUGGCUAAUCCUGGUCGGACAUCAGGAGGUUAGUGCAAUGGCAUAAGCCAGCUUGACUGCGAGCGUGACGGCGCGAGCAGGUGCGAAAGCAGGUCAUAGUGAUCCGGUGGUUCUGAAUGGAAGGGCCAUCGCUCAACGGAUAAAAGGUACUCCGGGGAUAACAGGCUGAUACCGCCCAAGAGUUCAUAUCGACGGCGGUGUUUGGCACCUCGAUGUCGGCUCAUCACAUCCUGGGGCUGAAGUAGGUCCCAAGGGUAUGGCUGUUCGCCAUUUAAAGUGGUACGCGAGCUGGGUUUAGAACGUCGUGAGACAGUUCGGUCCCUAUCUGCCGUGGGCGCUGGAGAACUGAGGGGGGCUGCUCCUAGUACGAGAGGACCGGAGUGGACGCAUCACUGGUGUUCGGGUUGUCAUGCCAAUGGCACUGCCCGGUAGCUAAAUGCGGAAGAGAUAAGUGCUGAAAGCAUCUAAGCACGAAACUUGCCCCGAGAUGAGUUCUCCCUGAGACUUUAGGUCUCCUGAAGGAACGUUGAAGACGACGACGUUGAUAGGCCGGGUGUGUAAGCGCAGCGAUGCGUUGAGCUAACCGGUACUAAUGAACCGUGAGGCUUAACCUUACAACGCCGAAG
RNAcentral lists this ribosomal RNA (1750 nucleotides) under Salmonella enterica subsp. enterica serovar Kentucky. RNAcentral's name for it is "partial 23S ribosomal RNA". It matches the Rfam family "Bacterial large subunit ribosomal RNA", at positions 1208 to 2925 of the family's 2925-position model. The record is from RNAcentral. Lineage: Bacteria; Pseudomonadati; Pseudomonadota; Gammaproteobacteria; Enterobacterales; Enterobacteriaceae.